AGAGUAUCGGAUACGACAAUGAAGGCAGCAUAGCUGGCGGUCAAGGCCACAACAUGUACAGCCCACAGAAUGGUGUUUGGCAGAAUCAAGAGGCGUCCACAGGUCAGAUAGUGACUUCUCCCAGCAAGCGUUCCGAUUCUGCUGAUUAGAGAAUAAAGAAUUGCUGUUCAGAGACUACAACAAGUAAUUAUGGCAGACUGCCAUAGCGCCACCCAGUGUCCCAAUUGACUUUGUUUGAGUUUUUAUUUUGCCGCUUCCGCAUCAGCGUUUUAGUUUGAUAUGCAGAAUUUGGAUUUUGUAAUUUUAGUUUUUUAUGAUCUAAUUUACACUGAUCAAAAUCAACAUGGCUGGUAUGGUGUUACAUUUUUGUAUGGGACAACUUUAGCAAGGCGUUUUUUUACUUUAGGGCUCGAAUAUUGUUAUCCCUUCGCCAACUUUUUAACAGCUAGUAUUUUUAUUUAUCUGCAAUUUUAGGUGAUCGGGAAUCGUGCCUCUAGGUAUUAUAAGUUCAUAUCUCAGUGCAUUUUUUAUUAAACUAAACUAAAGUGGGACCUUCUGAAGUAUGCACACCAAGAUGGCGCACAACCUGAACUCAUGUAUCAGGUUAGGGUUCAGGUUCUUGGUGCGCAUACUUCAGGAGCACCCUAAAGUGUCCAGUUCUUACAUUUUCUUGAAUGGUGUUAGUAUUUGAGCGGUGGUUAUACAAGACGGUAUACCUGUUCAUAAAAGUCCUUGAUGAGUCUAAAUCAGGGGUGUGCAACAUGCGGCCCACUAAUACAAAUUGUGCGGCCCGCGGAGAAGUGUCAAUUUUGAAUGGGGUCUCCAAUCCCUUUGCGUCGCUAAACCUAUACCCGAGUCCAACUUAAUAUCUCUGCAUAUGACGUUACAAUAUACUUACAGCUAGCUUGUCGAAGUGAACAACGCAUGUCAUAAGAUCAAUAGCCAGAAUGUUCGAGCUUGCAACUCUGGAAAGCCUAUUUUAAAUAAAGAUGCGACUCGCAGUUUCUCCCAGUUGUUUGAAUCUGGCCUCCUGUAUCAAAAAGUUGCACAGCACACCCCUGGUCUAAAUGAUUCUCCAAGAAAAUUAGAUUAGUUUGAAUUAAUUAGUUACAAGGGCUUAAAUACGAGCUUCCCAAAUUUUGAUCUAUCUCUCUUGUACUCUAUUUCAGAUCCAGUCAAGAGCUCAUUGAAAUUCUAUUAUGUCCAAUUGUUUUAAAUUAAAUUUUUUGUUUUUUAUCAACGUUUACAACCAUGAUUCGAGCAAAUUUGUAUAAAAAAUAACUUGCUGAUGAUUAUGAAAUCAAAACUGGACCAUUCCGGUUUAUUCCAGUACAAACUUGAUUCUGCCUUCUCAGUAUCCACUUCCAACAGUGCCAUAUAGCCCGGUUCGAGAUUGUCAUUAGCCAACCAAUGGCCAAGGAUAAAGCACAAACUUUAUCAAUGGCAAAUACAUGGCAGUGUAUAAAUAUCGCUAUUUGUGCAUUUAUUUAAUACUUCCUGAAAUAUUUUCACAGCUUUUUUCUGAGUUGAUUUGAAAGAUUUUUGCAUAUGAUACGCCUUUAAAUUUUUGUACAUAUAUGAUUUUUGGUGCUAAAUUUGGGGUUAAGUUUCUGCAUUUUCGUCAACAUCAAGUUAUAUUUAAUGUUCUAUCACAUUUUCCUGACAGAAAAUUUGAUGAGGUAAGAAAUUGUAGAGCCAGCAUUGAUUGCAUGCUUUUUCAUAUACCAAGCCCAUCAGCUUAAUGAAGUUCAUUUUUUUUUCAUCUGGUACAGCCUGAGCCACUCAGUGCAAUUCAUAUCAUAAUCAUGAAUGCUACAGAAGUCUAAUUUAUCCAACAUAUUUUGUUUAAAUGUAUUUCAAAAAAACAAAUUUAGAAGGCGAUUAAGAUAUUUGAGCUUUUUAGUUUGAUUCAAAUGAAAUUCUUCAGACAUCUUUGUAAAGUUACAUUCAGAAUGAAAUUCGAAGACUAUGAUUCCUAGUGUUAUAAUAUGAAAAAUUGUUCCGCUUCCAUUUAAUAACUAGACUUUAAACUGAAGAUGGUACACUAUGAAUUUCAUUUUAAUGCAGUACUUUCUUAUUUUUAUGCUUUUAGCAACGUUUUUACUCUUUGAUGAAUUGUAUUAUCAUAGUCUGGCCUUGAGUUUUUAAUUUAGUGUUUUAUGGUGUUUGCUCUCAGCGAGAUUUUAGACCAGCGUUAUGUUAUUCAACCACUUUGCUCAUAUCUUAUUCAGACACUUGUAUCUCCUCCAAUCUAAAACAUUGGAAAAUGUCAUGGGAUGAUUUUCACCAAGCAUAUCAUAACUUCAAUAUUCACUGCUUUAGGGUUUCUGCUGCACGAGCUUCUGCAUUUAUUUAGGGCUUUAAGUAGCAAUAUCCUGCAAUUUGGCAGCCCCAUAUUUUUUACUGUUAUACAUUCUAAGCAAAAAAGUUCAUAGGAUUAUUUGGGACUGCCCUUUUACUACAGACAGAAUCAAAAAAACUUACCAAAAAACAUGUACUGAAUGAAUCAUCUCAUAACUAAGUAAGUUGAACUGCCAUCUAAUAUCUAUCAUGUUUUUAUUGAUGGCUCAAUGAGCCUUGUGUGUGUUCUAAGCUUUGAGGAACCUUAAAACGGCCUCCGGAAGUGUGUGUACCAAUAUGGAGGUAACUAAUUUUGUUGGCCUACUUUAUAUCAAGAUAUGUAAAGGGACUGAAACCUAUUGGGCAGUAUAUUCAUCUGGCUAACACAGACAGACGCCGAAUUGGAAUAAAAUUAUGCCCUAAUCUGGUACACGCACUACGGCAGUAUUUUAAAAGCUAUGUAAGGUGGAGUCUGUUCAAACGUCAAUCUGGACCUAUAUUUUUACACCAUAUCGACCUGACCGCAAUCCCGAGUUUGGCCAUGCAAUUUUGUUUUAAAUAAACAUCAAGACAGCUCGGAUUUGGUGAUCCACUUGGUUGUUUACUGAUUAUUACUCUGAUGUGACAAAUGGGAUACAGUAGUUUUUUUAGUGUUUUUAAUUUUUUGCCAAUCAUGAGUUGAUUAUAGCCCUGUAUUUUGUAAUUUAGCUGCUUUGUGUAAUCACAAUGAGCUGUAUAUUUUUAAUUCAUUUUUUAUCUUUUUUGUCAAAGGGUAAUAGUUUUGUAAUAAUGGGUACAAACGAUUUGUUACUGAACACUUUUUUAAACUGUUUGUAUUGCUUUGUCUGAAAUGUAGCAAUUUUUAACUCUUGGGACGACUUUUGUGUUAUCGUACGUAUUGUAAGGUCGGUAAUUUUGUGUAUGCCCUCUUUUUAGAGGACAAGUCCUUUGCCCACAUUUUGUGAAAAUAAAUAUCCUCGUUUUAUAACCAGCCUUCGCUGUUUUUUCUGAUUGUGUAUUGAAAUAUUGGACUUCGAUUUGGCGAACAUCUAUUUCAGUUUUUUCUAAAUUUCAGGGUUUGGACAUUGUUAAUAUGUGGGACAUUAUGAUGUCGUUAAUGUAUUUUUAUUGUUCUCUGUGUUAUGUAAUAAUGUCAAAUAUAAUCGAUUCAAUAA
Non-coding RNA from Styela clava, 3515 nucleotides. The record is from RefSeq and is a predicted model, not a curated record. Lineage: Eukaryota; Metazoa; Chordata; Ascidiacea; Stolidobranchia; Styelidae.